CAUGCUAACAACGACGAUAAGCAUGACCGACCCAGCGACCAAGGAGCCUGGUGGGGUUAUUUUAAAAAUAACUGUUAACUUUUUUUCUAGUAGGUUCAGCAGUCAGGAACAGAUUUGCACCCAUCCUUAGAGACGGAGGGUUUCUGUUUGUUUGCUGCAUGGCUGUGACACUAUUUAAUCUUCCCUGCAAUGACUGGUCAUCAGUUCAAAUGUUGGAAGAUUUUGACCUGGACUGUAUAUUCCUGAAAGAUAGAAUCUUCCCUCUACUACCUUUUUUCCUAUGCUACUUCUGGCCUGCUUGGUGGAGAUGAUGACUCUCCCUGACGAAAAGCAGUAAAUGAAUUGUAAAAGCAGGCACAUGAAGAACAUCAAAGUCCUGUGUUUUGCCUCUUUGAAUCCAAACAAGAAAUCCAGUUAAAAGUUCUGUGAACUGAAAA
Rhea pennata is the source of this 437-nucleotide long non-coding RNA. RefSeq lists it as uncharacterized. The record is from RefSeq and is a predicted model, not a curated record. The transcript is spliced from 3 exons. Lineage: Eukaryota; Metazoa; Chordata; Aves; Rheiformes; Rheidae.